AAUCCAUAGGUUAAUGAGGCGAACCGGGGGAACUGAAACAUCUAAGUACCCCGAGGAAAAGAAAUCAACCGAGAUUCCCCCAGUAGCGGCGAGCGAACGGGGAGGAGCCCAGAGCCUGAAUCAGCAUGUGUGUUAGUGGAAGCGUCUGGAAAGGCGCGCGAUACAGGGUGACAGCCCCGUACACAAAAGCGCAUGUGCUGUGAGCUCGAUGAGUAGGGCGGGACACGUGGUAUCCUGUCUGAAUAUGGGGGGACCAUCCUCCAAGGCUAAAUACUCCUGACUGACCGAUAGUGAACCAGUACCGUGAGGGAAAGGCGAAAAGAACCCCGGCGAGGGGAGUGAAAAAGAACCUGAAACCGUGUACGUACAAGCAGUGGGAGCACCCUUUGGGGUGUGACUGCGUACCUUUUGUAUAAUGGGUCAGCGACUUAUAUUCUGUAGCAAGGUUAACCGAAUAGGGGAGCCGGAGGGAAACCGAGUCUUAACCGGGCGUUAAGUUGCAGGGUAUAGACCCGAAACCCGGUGAUCUAGCCAUGGGCAGGUUGAAGGUUGGGUAACACUAACUGGAGGACCGAACCGACUAAUGUUGAAAAAUUAGCGGAUGACCUGUGGCUGGGGGUGAAAGGCCAAUCAAACCGGGAGAUAGCUGGUUCUCCCCGAAAGCUAUUUAGGUAGCGCCUCGUGAAUUCAUCUCCGGGGGUAGAGCACUGUUUCGGCUAGGGGGCCAUCCCGGCUUACCAACCCGAUGCAAACUGCGAAUACCGGAGAAUGUUAUCACGGGAGACACACGGCGGGUGCUAACGUCCGUCGUGAAGAGGGAAACAACCCAGACCGCCAGCUAAGGUCCCAAAGUCAUGGUUAAGUGGGAAACGAUGUGGGAAGGCCCAGACAGCCAGGAUGUUGGCUUAGAAGCAGCCAUCAUUUAAAGAAAGCGUAAUAGCUCACUGGUCGAGUCGGCCUGCGCGGAAGAUGUAACGGGGCUAAACCAUGCACCGAAGCUGCGGCAGCGACGCUGAUGCGUUGUUGGGUAGGGGAGCGUUCUGUAAGCCUGUGAAGGUGGCCUGUGAGGGUUGCUGGAGGUAUCAGAAGUGCGAAUGCUGACAUAAGUAACGAUAAAGCGGGUGAAAAGCCCGCUCGCCGGAAGACCAAGGGUUCCUGUCCAACGUUAAUCGGGGCAGGGUGAGUCGACCCCUAAGGCGAGGCCGAAAGGCGUAGUCGAUGGGAAACGGGUUAAUAUUCCCGUACUUGGUGUUACUGCGAAGGGGGGACGGAGAAGGCUAUGUUGGCCGGGCGACGGUUGUCCCGGUUUAAGCGUGUAGGUGUGUGUUCCAGGUAAAUCCGGUUCACUUUAACACUGAGGCGUGAUGACGAGGCACUACGGUGCUGAAGCAACAAAUGCCCUGCUUCCAGGAAAAGCCUCUAAGCAUCAGGUAACAUCAAAUCGUACCCCAAACCGACACAGGUGGUCAGGUAGAGAAUACCAAGGCGCUUGAGAGAACUCGGGUGAAGGAACUAGGCAAAAUGGUGCCGUAACUUCGGGAGAAGGCACGCUGACACGUAGGUGAAGUGAUUUACUCAUGGAGCUGAAGUCAGUCGAAGAUACCAGCUGGCUGCAACUGUUUAUUAAAAACACAGCACUGUGCAAACACGAAAGUGGACGUAUACGGUGUGACGCCUGCCCGGUGCCGGAAGGUUAAUUGAUGGGGUCAGCGCAAGCGAAGCUCCUGAUCGAAGCCCCGGUAAACGGCGGCCGUAACUAUAACGGUCCUAAGGUAGCGAAAUUCCUUGUCGGGUAAGUUCCGACCUGCACGAAUGGCGUAAUGAUGGCCAGGCUGUCUCCACCCGAGACUCAGUGAAAUUGAACUCGCUGUGAAGAUGCAGUGUACCCGCGGCAAGACGGAAAGACCCCGUGAACCUUUACUAUAGCUUGACACUGAACAUUGAGCCUUGAUGUGUAGGAUAGGUGGGAGGCUUUGAAGUGUGG
This 1984-nucleotide ribosomal RNA is filed under the name Salmonella enterica subsp. enterica serovar Javiana. RNAcentral's name for it is "partial 23S ribosomal RNA". It matches the Rfam family "Bacterial large subunit ribosomal RNA", at positions 161 to 2167 of the family's 2925-position model. The record is from RNAcentral. Lineage: Bacteria; Pseudomonadati; Pseudomonadota; Gammaproteobacteria; Enterobacterales; Enterobacteriaceae.